Etheostoma spectabile (orangethroat darter) is the source of this 102-nucleotide long non-coding RNA. RefSeq lists it as uncharacterized. The record is from RefSeq and is a predicted model, not a curated record. NCBI's taxonomy places the organism in Eukaryota, Metazoa, Chordata, Actinopteri, Perciformes, Percidae. The transcript has 2 exons.
UACAAGAAGUUCCUCUAUGAGCCUUUCCCUGUUGAGUCCAGCCUCCUCACUGUGCUGUCCGACCAUCUGAAUGCUGAGAUUUCUGCAGGAACCAUCUCGUCC